Molecule: ribosomal RNA, 432 nt
Filed under: uncultured picoeukaryote
Lineage: Eukaryota
Description: bacterial SSU rRNA
Rfam family: Eukaryotic small subunit ribosomal RNA
Source: RNAcentral
ACUUGGAUAACUCGAGGUAAUUCUUAGAGCUAAUACAUGCGAGAAACCUCAACUCACGGAGAGGUGCUUUUAUUAGAUCAAAACCAAACUGCAGCUCGUUUACCCGGGCGGCAGUGUAACCUUGGCGAUUCUGAAUAACUUUGGGCGGAUAGCAUUUGCCUUGUGCAGGCUACGUUUCCUUCGAAGGUGUGCCCUAUCAACUUUCGACUGUGACACAGCUGAUCACAGUGGUUUUGACGGGUAACGGGGAAUCAGGGUUCGAUUCCGGAGAGGGAGCCUUAAAAACAGCUACCACAUCCAAGGAAGGCAGCAGGCACGCAAAUUACCCAAUGGUCGAAGACCGAGGUAGUGACGAAAAAUAACAAUACCGGACUCUUCCGAGGCCCGGUAAUUGGAAUGAGUACACUUUAAAACCGUUCCCGAGGAUCUAUU